Molecule: ribosomal RNA, 301 nt
Filed under: uncultured bacterium
Lineage: Bacteria
Description: partial 16S ribosomal RNA
Rfam family: Bacterial small subunit ribosomal RNA
Source: RNAcentral
CAGUGCCGCGGUAACACAGAGGGUGCGAGCGUUAAUCGGAUUUACUGGGCGUAAAGCGUGCGUAGGCGGCUUCUUAAGUCGGAUGUGAAAUCCCUGAGCUUAACUUAGGAAUUGCAUUCGAUACUGGGAAGCUAGAGUAUGGGAGAGGAUGGUAGAAUUCCAGGUGUAGCGGUGAAAUGCGUAGAGAUCUGGAGGAAUACCGAUGGCGAAGGCAGCCAUCUGGCCUAAUACUGACGCUGAGGUACGAAAGCAUGGGGAGCAAACAGGAUUAGAUACCCCCGUAGUCCCUGUCUCUUAUACA